RNAcentral lists this ribosomal RNA (2828 nucleotides) under Escherichia coli. RNAcentral describes it as "bacterial LSU rRNA". It matches the Rfam family "Bacterial large subunit ribosomal RNA". Lineage: Bacteria; Pseudomonadati; Pseudomonadota; Gammaproteobacteria; Enterobacterales; Enterobacteriaceae. The record is from RNAcentral.
ACUAAGCGUACACGGUGGAUGCCCUGGCAGUCAGAGGCGAUGAAGGACGUGCUAAUCUGCGAUAAGCGUCGGUAAGGUGAUAUGAACCNCACACUAUCAUUAACUGAAUCCAUAGGUUAAUGAGGCGAACCGGGGGAACUGAAACAUCUAAGUACCCCGAGGAAAAGAAAUCAACCGAGAUUCCCCCAGUAGCGGCGAGCGAACGGGGAGCAGCCCAGAGCCUGAAUCAGUGUGUGUGUUAGUGGAAGCGUCUGGAAAGGCGCGCGAUACAGGGUGACAGCCCCGUACACAAAAAUGCACAUACUGUGAGCUCGAUGAGUAGGGCGGGACACGUGGUAUCCUGUCUGAAUAUGGGGGGACCAUCCUCCAAGGCUAAAUACUCCUGACUGACCGAUAGUGAACCAGUACCGUGAGGGAAAGGCGAAAAGAACCCCGGCGAGGGGAGUGAAAAAGAACCUGAAACCGUGUACGUACAAGCAGUGGGAGCNGUGACUGCGUACCUUUUGUAUAAUGGGUCAGCGACUUAUAUUCUGUAGCAAGGUUAACCGAAUAGGGGAGCCGAAGGGAAACCGAGUCUUAACUGGGCGUUAAGUUGCAGGGUAUAGACCCGAAACCCGGUGAUCUAGCCAUGGGCAGGUUGAAGGUUGGGUAACACUAACUGGAGGACCGAACCGACUAAUGUUGAAAAAUUAGCGGAUGACUUGUGGCUGGGGGUGAAAGGCCAAUCAAACCGGGAGAUAGCUGGUUCUCCCCGAAAGCUAUUUAGGUAGCGCCUCGUGAAUUCAUCUCCGGGGGUAGAGCACUGUUUCGGCAAGGGGGUCAUCCCGACUUACCAACCCGAUGCAAACUGCGAAUACCGGAGAAUGUUAUCACGGGAGACACACGGCGGGGGCUAACGUCCGUCGUGAAGAGGGAAACAACCCAGACCGCCAGCUAAGGUCCCAAAGUCAUGGUUAAGUGGGAAACGAUGUGGGAAGGCCCAGACAGCCAGGAUGUUGGCUUAGAAGCAGCCAUCAUUUAAAGAAAGCGUAAUAGCUCACUGGUCGAGUCGGCCUGCGCGGAAGAUGUAACGGGGCUAAACCAUGCACCGAAGCUGCGGCAGCGACACUGUGUGUUGUUGGGUAGGGGAGCGUUCUGUAAGCCUGUGAAGGUGUNAUGCUGGAGGUAUCAGAAGUGCGAAUGCUGACAUAAGUAACGAUAAAGCGGGUGAAAAGCCCGCUCGCCGGAAGACCAAGGGUUCCUGUCCAACGUUAAUCGGGGCAGGGUGAGUCGACCCCUAAGGCGAGGCCGAAAGGCGUAGUCGAUGGGAAACAGGUUAAUAUUCCUGUACUUGGUGUUACUGCGAAGGGGGGACGGAGAAGGCUAUGUUGGCCGGGCGACGGUUGUCCCGGUUUAAGCGUGUAGGCUGGUUUUCCAGGCAAAUCCGGAAAAUCAAGGCUGAGGCGUGAUGACGAGGCACUACGGUGCUGAAGCAACAAAUGCCCUGCUUCCAGGAAAAGCCUCUAAGCAUCAGGUAACAUCAAAUCGUACCCCAAACCGACACAGGUGGUCAGGUAGAGAAUACCAAGGCGUUUGAGAGAACUCGGGUGAAGGAACUAGGCAAAAUGGUGCCGUAACUUCGGGAGAAGGCACGCUGAUAUGUAGGUGAAGUCCCUCGCGGAUGGAGCUGAAAUCAGUCGAAGAUACCAGCUGGCUGCAACUGUUUAUUAAAAACACAGCACUGUGCAAACACGAAAGUGGACGUAUACGGUGUGACGCCUGCCCGGUGCCGGAAGGUUAAUUGAUGGGGUCAGCGCAAGCGAAGCUCUUGAUCGAAGCCCCGGUAAACGGCGGCCGUAACUAUAACGGUCCUAAGGUAGCGAAAUUCCUUGUCGGGUAAGUUCCGACCUGCACGAAUGGCGUAAUGAUGGCCAGGCUGUCUCCACCCGAGACUCAGUGAAAUUGAACUCGCUGUGAAGAUGCAGUGUACCCGCGGCAAGACGGAAAGACCCCGUGAACCUUUACUAUAGCUUGACACUGAACAUUGAGCCUUGAUGUGUAGGAUAGGUGGGAGGCUUUGAAGUGUGGACGCCAGUCUGCAUGGAGCCGACCUUGAAAUACCACCCUUUAAUGUUUGAUGUUCUAACGUGGACCCGUGAUCCGGGUUGCGGACAGUGUCUGGUGGGUAGUUUGACUGGGGCGGUCUCCUCCUAAAGAGUAACGGAGGAGCACGAAGGUUGGCUAAUCCUGGUCGGACAUCAGGAGGUUAGUGCAAUGGCAUAAGCCAGCUUGACUGCGAGCGUGACGGCGCGAGCAGGUGCGAAAGCAGGUCAUAGUGAUCCGGUGGUUCUGAAUGGAAGGGCCAUCGCUCAACGGAUAAAAGGUACUCCGGGGAUAACAGGCUGAUACCGCCCAAGAGUUCAUAUCGACGGCGGUGUUUGGCACCUCGAUGUCGGCUCAUCACAUCCUGGGGCUGAAGUAGGUCCCAAGGGUAUGGCUGUUCGCCAUUUAAAGUGGUACGCGAGCUGGGUUUAGAACGUCGUGAGACAGUUCGGUCCCUAUCUGCCGUGGGCGCUGGAGAACUGAGGGGGGCUGCUCCUAGUACGAGAGGACCGGAGUGGACGCAUCACUGGUGUUCGGGUUGUCAUGCCAAUGGCACUGCCCGGUAGCUAAAUGCGGAAGAGAUAAGUGCUGAAAGCAUCUAAGCACGAAACUUGCCCCGAGAUGAGUUCUCCCUGACCCUUUAAGGGUCCUGAAGGAACGUUGAAGACGACGACGUUGAUAGGCCGGGUGUGUAAGCGCAGCGAUGCGUUGAGCUAACCGGUACUAAUGAACCGUGAGGCUUAACC